This 442-nucleotide ribosomal RNA is filed under the name uncultured bacterium. RNAcentral's name for it is "partial 16S ribosomal RNA". It matches the Rfam family "Bacterial small subunit ribosomal RNA", at positions 338 to 795 of the family's 1533-position model. The record is from RNAcentral.
CCUACGGGUGGCAGCAGUGGGGGAUAUUGGACAAUGGGGGGAACCCUGAUCCAGCGACGCCGCGUGAGUGAAGAAGGAUCUCGGGUUGUAAAGCUCUAUCAGCAGGGACGAAGAAAUGACGGUAACCGAGGAAGAAGCCCCGGCUAAAUCAGUGCCAGGAGCCGCGGGUAAACGUAGGGGGGAAGCGGUAUCCGGAAUUACUGGGUGGAAAGGGAGUGUAGACGGGGAUGGAAGUCGGGAGUGAAAGGCGAGGGCCCAACCCCCGGACUGGGCUGGAAAAGUUGUGACUGGAGUGCAGGAGAGGUGGGCGGAAUUCCUAGUGUAGCGGUGAAAUGCGUAGAUAUUAGGAGGAACACCAGUGGCGAAGGCGGCUCACUGGACUGUAACUGACGUUGAGGCUCGAAAGCGUGGGGAGCAAACAGGAUUAGAUACCCGGGUAGUC